GAGAGAAAAGACUAAAGAAAUCAGUUGAGUGAGCAUCUCCGACACGGCAACAACUGCUGUUGACUAUUUGUCACUAAAUCGCAAUCAUGAUAAACUAUGGCGUUGUGCUGCUGUUGGGUGUUGAAUCGUUGAUGGUUGGGUCGACCACUGGUGUACAGAUGUCUGGGUAUGGCGGAUAUCAAAGCACAACACUACUGUCUUAUUACUCAACAUCAACCGACGCUCUUCCAGCUUACUACACCAAGGCUCUAAAGUACUACACCACCAAGGCUUCAGAGUAUUACAAGUUGUAUAAAAGGAGAGAAAAGGCGAAAUAAUCAGGCGAGUGAUUAUCUCCGACACGAAAACAACUGUUGUGCACUAUUUGUCACUAACUGCAUUCUCCAUCGUACAUAGGGUAAACUGUGGCGUCGUGCUGCUGUUGGUUGUUGUCCUCAAAUAUUACACCACCGACACUCCAAUUUAUGCUGCACGAGCUGCAUCACCAAAGAGCCCGAACCCAUCCCCAGCAACGUCAACCUGCAGAAGGAAAGGCAGUUUUGUAUGUCCUUCAGAAGGUCACGGAGAUCAUUACGUAAAACUGUCAAUGCGGUGGUGUAGAGGUUGGGUGAGAACGGGAAGUGUUUGCUUCAUUAUCAAGCAGGUAAAAUAGCCGCAAGGCUUAAGAGAGGGGUCAGGGUGAGAAAAAGUCGUAUAAAAGAAGAGAGAAAAGGCGUUUCAAAUCAGUUGAGUGAAAAUCUCCGACACGGCAACAGCUGCUGUGGACUAUUUGUCACCAACUGCAUUCUUCAUCGUAAUACCGGUUCGCAACCAAAUGUUAACUAUGGCGUCGUGCUGCUAUUGGUUGCUGUAUCUUUGAUGGUUGAGUCGACUACUGGGGUACCGAUGUCUCGUGGGUAUGGUGGAUACCAAACCGCAACGCCGGCGUCUUACCACACAUCAUACGCAACAACCGGAGUACUACACCACAACUUAUGAUGUCCCAAACUACUACACUGAAGCCUCAAAAUAUAAUUCUGCCUCGAGUUACACCAGCGGAGUACUACACCACCGAGGCAGCGGAGUACUACACCACCGAGGCAGCGGAGUACUUCACCACCGAGGCAGCGGAGUACUUCACCACCAAGGCAGCGGAGUACUACACCACCAAGGCAGCGGAGUACUACACCACCAAGGCAGCGGAGUACUACACCACCAAGGCAGCGGAGUACUACACCACCAAGGCAGCGGAGUACUACACCACCAAGGCAGCGGAGUACUACACCACCAAGGCAGCGGAGUACUACACCACCAAGGCAGCGGAGUACUACACCACCAAGGCAGCGGAGUACUACACCACCAAGGCAGCGAGUACCAAACGACUGCGUAUGCUGCCCCAGCCUUUUAGUCCGAUGCUCCCAAGUACUACUCCGUUCCCAGCUACUUCACCGAGGCUCCAGCUUAUUACGCCACCACGCGGUCACAACUACACCGAAGCGCCCAAGUACUACUCUUCCCCGAAUUACUACACAGCGGCUGCUCCUUCGUACGUUGGACCGAAAUACUACACGAUGCUCCAGUUUACUACUCUACAACCUACGCUGCACCUAGCUACACCUAGUUAAUACACUAAAGCCCCAAAGUACUACAUCGACGAGGCCGCAUGUUGCACUGAAACCCACGCUGCCCUCAGCUACCAUACCGAGGCUCCGCUCCCAAAUUGCUUCCAAGUACUACACAACCAAGGCACCCGAGCUAUUAGUUAGGCUGCUUCGACCUACUGUACCGAAACUGCGAAGUAUUCCACUGCCCCGAGUUACUACACCACCAAGGCACCUGAAUGUUACAUCACAACCUUCGCUUCUCCAGUUUACUACAGGAAGGCUCUUAAGUACCAGAGCCGAAAUUUCUGAUUGAUUUAUUUGUGUUCAGUUUGUUGGUCAUAUCUCAAUAGUUACUAGUGACUGGGAAUCGUUGUUGAUCUUAAAUGAGAAAAUAAAUUUUUUAAUGGUAA
Molecule: unclassified non-coding RNA, 1993 nt
Filed under: Daphnia pulex (common water flea)
Lineage: Eukaryota; Metazoa; Arthropoda; Branchiopoda; Diplostraca; Daphniidae
Description: uncharacterized LOC124210598, transcript variant X1
Source: RNAcentral